Molecule: ribosomal RNA, 497 nt
Filed under: uncultured bacterium
Lineage: Bacteria
Description: partial 16S ribosomal RNA
Rfam family: Bacterial small subunit ribosomal RNA
Source: RNAcentral
GAUGAACGCUGGCGGCGUGCCUAAUACAUGCAAGUCGAGCGAAAAGACGCGUUGCUUGCUACACGAACGUUGGCCGCGGACGUGUCACUAACGUGUCGUUCACCCACCUAUGAGACUGGGCUAACUUCCUGAAGCCGAAACUAAUACCGGGUAAUUUCUUCAACCGCAUGGUUCGAUAGUUCAAGCCGGUUUUGCUGUCCCUUCUGGCUGGAUCCGCGCCGCUUGAGCUAGUUGGUAAGGUAACGGCUUACCAAGGCCACGAUGCGUAGCCGACCUGAGAGGGGGAACGGCCACACUGAAACUGAGAGACGGUCCAGACUCCGACGGGAGGCAGAAGUAGGGAAUCGUCCGCAAUGGGCGGAAGCCUGACGGAGCAACGCCGCGUUAGUGAUGAAGGUCUGCGGAUCGUAAAACUCUGUUAUUAGUGAAGAACAAAUGUGGAAGUAACUAUGCACGUCUUGACGGUACCUAAUCAGAAAGCCACGGCUAACUACGUG